This 568-nucleotide ribosomal RNA is filed under the name uncultured bacterium. RNAcentral describes it as "bacterial SSU rRNA". It matches the Rfam family "Bacterial small subunit ribosomal RNA", at positions 102 to 694 of the family's 1533-position model. The record is from RNAcentral.
ACGGGUGAGUAACACGUGGGAACGUACCCUUUGGUUCGGAAUAACGCUGGGAAACUAGCGCUAAUACCGGAUACGCCCAUGGCCUUUGGCUCUGGGGAAAGGCUUGCUGCCGAAGGAUCGGCCCGCGUCUGAUUAGCUAGUUGGUGGGGUAAUGGCCUACCAAGGCGACGAUCAGUAGCUGGUCUGAGAGGAUGAUCAGCCACACUGGGACUGAGACACGGCCCAGACUCCUACGGGAGGCAGCAGUGGGGAAUAUUGGACAAUGGGCGCAAGCCUGAUCCAGCCAUGCCGCGUGAGUGAUGAAGGCCUUAGGGUUGUAAAGCUCUUUUGUCCGGGACGAUAAUGACGGUACCGGAAGAAUAAGCCCCGGCUAACUUCGUGCCAGCAGCCGCGGUAAUACGAAGGGGGCUAGCGUUGCUCGGAAUCACUGGGCGUAAAGGGCGCGUAGGCGGCCAUUCAAGUCGGGGGUGAAAGCCUGUGGCUCAACCACAGAAUUGCCUUCGAUACUGUUUGGCUUGAGUAUGGCAGAGGUUAGUGGAACUGCGAGUGUAGAGGUGAAAUUCGUAGA